AAACAGAUGGCCAACCAAUUCGAGCAAAAAAGCUGAAUGAAAAUGGUUUUUACGAAUUUCAUGGAGUGGGUGAUUUGGCCAUCUUUUAAAAAUCAAGACUCGUGGCUUUAAAAAGACGAGGAUUUAUAAGGAUAUCGUACCCUGCUAUUUCUGUAUUGCGAAGAAUACAUUCUUUGGGCCUUUAAAAAUUGUCAAGUCAGCAUCGUCCCCCUCAAACUCAACAGCCCCGGCACGCUUCUAUGUUUCCAUGUCCCUUUGGCACAGAGUGGGGAAACCAGGCUCCCUUGCCUGGAUUGUUCCAUUUCCAGGCAGGUGUUCUCUUGGAUCCAGGACAGACAGGCAUGAGCUUCAGACCCGCCUCUCGGGGAGACGAUGUGUGGUAGUCAGCCGGGAAACGGACCAGCUGAGGAAGCAGAUGCUUCCAGACGGAGUUUCAACUUCGUUCAAGGAAUUUCAAUGGGAGCAACACUUUUGACCUGAACUCCUACUGUAUCCAUCUAUCAGGUACUAUAAAUUCCAACUUCUCUCAACAGGGCUGCUAAUAGGAACCAACAGAUUACAAAAAACUGAAAUCGGAUGCCACUUGUCUGUGUAUUUCCCUACACAGUGUGCUUUUCUGGGUAUUUAUAGCCCCAUUGUAACUCGGCCCAUCAAACCAGCUUUUUCUCUCCAUCCAUCCAGACAUAAUCUUGGAUACUUUCACUUGCCAGACAUUAUUUCAGAUUACUUUCUGUCAUUUAUUUGGCGCAACCCCCCCCCCCCAAAUCUUGGGCUCCCAUGCUAGUAGGAGUUGCAUUCCUCUAGCCCUUGCAGCCGGGCUCUGCCCUGAAAGACAGAGUGAGCUGACUUAACAC
This 854-nucleotide long non-coding RNA is filed under the name Mustela putorius furo (domestic ferret). RNAcentral's name for it is "lncRNA (ENSMPUG00000025872.1)". Lineage: Eukaryota; Metazoa; Chordata; Mammalia; Carnivora; Mustelidae. The record is from RNAcentral.